AUUAAGAACAUUUUAAAAGAACAUGUCCUCAGUUUGUAUCCCGUAUGUAUUUAAUAACGUUUUAUAUAAUAUAUAUAUAUAUAUAUAUAUUCCAUUUACAUACAGGAAUCAACAGUAUGGAGGCGCAUAACUGCAGGCCCCAAGAAAUUUUACAGGAUUAUAUACGCAUGGCCAAAUCACAAGUUUCACUCGAAAGAGGGAGGAACAAAUCCCAGAAGAAAUUUCGAGCCAAUGCGGACGUGCCGAGCAUCACCAGCCGUGAACAGUACCUCACACAGCCAAGGGGCCCACGACCCAGAGACUACUUCUUACGAGUCCUGCCACUUCGUCUCCACUACCACCUACCAAUUACUCUCUUGUGCAGCCAACUAAGAGGAUGCAGGUACCAAACAUUGACCAUUAAUGACAUUUUUUCCCCUGCUUUAAUUUCUUUGCGGAUUCUGAUAACCUCGUCCCUUUCUUGCCCUGCAAAGAAGGUAACGAUCAAGGACCACCAAGAUCAGAAAGGCAUUCAGAUUGAUUAGUCCUGAGUGCAUUUCAGACAAGUAGUUAGUGAGACAUGCUCAUGCACAGAAGGUGAACUUACACAGAAGAGAAGCGACAGAUACCCUGCUGAAGAACUCUUGAGCGGAAGGAGGGAGGAACAGGAUGCUGCAGCGGGCGGCGAGCAAUGCCUACUCAUGGUGGUGGGCGAGCCAUGUCCGCACCAAGCAGUCCAAAUGGCUCGACAACAACCUCAAAGGUUUGGCUUUCUUGAACACACCAUCCAAUCCAUUUACAUACAAGCUUAACACAUUAAGUCAUUAACACCUGGGUCCGAUUGCUUUGUUUUUCAUUUUAGCAAGUCAAUGCAUGCUGAUUCAUAAGCAACAUUACCUUCAUCGUAGUGUUACGAUGUGACCAAGGAGAAAAUGAUUUAUCUGAACAGUUUCAUUUCUUGGUCCGAACUUGCAUAGUUACCUGCAAAAGAGCAUCUGGUCUAUAGUAAAUACACAUAUCCUAUUCCAGAUGAUUAUGUAAUUCAUGAAUGUAUCAGCUAAGCAUAGGUAUAUAGUCGCAUGCCAAAAAGAAGUAUAACGAUGUCUGCACUCUGGGCACUCAGAGCAAGAAAUACUAUGCAUUUCAUGCUAGUUUGGUUGGUGUCAUCUUAGUAGUGAUGUAUGCUACAGUUCUUCACAGUCAGAACGUGGUACAUCAUUCUGUGCAAUAGAUAGUCACAAACUUCAAGGCAGUUAAGUCCAUAAAAAGAACUGAAACCUCUGUUACAAAUCAACUCCCUAACAUUUACAAUUGCUUUGAACUCUACAUAUUAUUUUCUACAUUGAGUAUAAUGAAACAUCCUUCAAGAUGUAUUUGUGCAAUCCUGACAAUUUGGAAAAUGAUUUUUUAGCAUUUCUUUCCAAACAGCCAGCAUCUCCUUAUGUUUGUCUAUGUGCAGAUAUGGAAGAUAGGGUCAAGUGUAUUCUCUUCCUCCUUGGGGAGGAAGCUGAUUCCUUUGCCAAGAGGGCAGAAAUGUAUUACAAGCGACGACCAGAGGUGAUCAGUUCAGUGGAAGAAGCAUACCGGGCAUACAGGGCCCUUGCUGAACGCUAUGACCAUAUGUCAGGGGAGUUACACAAAGCAAACCAUACAAUUGCAUCUACCUUCCCUGAUCAGAUUCAGUAUUCAUUGCUAGAAGAGGAUGAUGACAAUCUCCCAAAAGCUUAUACCAAGGUCGAUCCUCGCAAAAUUCACAAGUCAACAGUGGAGGGACUAAUGAAGAAGAAGCAUAGAGAGAAAUCAAGACCAAAAGAUGGAGGAAAGAAGUCUGCAGUUCCAAUGAACAAGGAUAAUGCACAAGCUGAGAUCAGCAGGCUACAGAAAGAGAUAUUAGUCCUGCAGACGGAGAAAGAGUUCAUCAAAAGCUCUUACGAGAGUGGAAUUGCAAAAUACUGGGAUCUUGAGAAACAAAUUAACGAAAUGCAGGAAGAAGUUUGCUACUUCCAAGACGAGUUCAAUGAAAGUGCAGUGAUAGAGGAUGAUGAGGCCAGGGCUUUGAUGACAGCAACUGCUCUUAAAUCUUGUGAAGACGCCAUUAUCAAAAUGCAGGAGCAACAGAAGUCAUUUUUCAGCCAAGCAAUGAUUGAGUCCGCAAGAGUUAAGGUUUCUAGGGAGAAGCUGAAGGGUAUCAUGAGAGUACAUGGUAAAUCUCUAUCAUAUUCAGGAAAUUCUGCAGAUGAGAAUGUUAAAACCGAUGCCGGUGCUAGGAGAGAUGAAUUGUUCUCCAUGAAGCAGGAGAAAUUUGAACUGCAAGAACUAGUAGAAAAGAUCAAGGGAUACUUUGAGAUGGACUCUGAUCUUUCUGUGGUAGAGAUUGCAGAGAAAAUUGAUGAACUAGUUAACAAAGUUGUUGAUUUGGAGCUCAUGAUUUCAACACAGACUGCACAGAUAAAUAGGCUGUGUCUAGAAAACAAUGAGCUGGAGAAGUCAUUGCAGAAAUUGGAGGAAGAGGAGACAGAACAAAAUGACUCAGUGAAUUAAAUGAGAGGCUCAAGGAGGCAGAAAAGGAGCUUAUUAGAGUGCAUAACCUUGAGAGAUCCUACCAUGCAGAAGAAAGAAUAGUCUGUGCAAAUUUCACCGAAACAAUAAAUAGUUUCUGUGACAUUUCACAUAUGCUGCAAUCACCUCUCAUUGAGCACCCAGUUGUUUCAAGAUGCAUGCUGACUGAUGAAGCAACACCAUCCACUGACACUGAACAAUCAGGUGAGCAUAGCAAAACAAGCCCAUUAGAAGAUCCUGAGAUGGAUGAAGCUGCAAGGAAGCCACAAGUAGAUGGAUUUCUUGAUCAUCCAGAUACACCAGAGCCAGCUAUCUUCAGCGAUGACAGUAAGUCAUCUAGUGGCUACCAUGAGAGUAAAGCAGAAAAGCAUUGUCACGUAGAUAAAAUACAGGACUUAAGCUGUUGUGAGUUUGAAGAUAAGUUAAUUGAAGCCGCAUCAGUACCAGUGGAUGUGGGAACAACAGAAACUGCAGAUCAGACUUCAUCUGAUGAUAAUAACAAUGGAGAAUCAGAUCAUGUUCUCGAAAUCACUAGUAACACUGGAAGCAGUGUGCAACAAGAUAUUGUGCACUGCCAUGAGAGCGAUUCAUUAGAAGACGUGCAUCAGAUUUCCUCCAAUAGUCAAGGAGAAAAUUUGAAACAAGAGGACAAUAUGAUAUAUAACUCAACACCAUGUAACAGCAUCUUUGAAGGCAGCUCAGAACAGAAGAUAGAGAUGAACAAAGAAGAAGCUUCAUAUAUCAUCAAAAAUCCAAUUCCUACAAAUGGGAAAGUUGCUGGUGUUGGAGAUCAAGAGGAUAGCAUGAUUAAUCUACAGCAGUUGCUUAUGAAUGGACUCCAAGAUAAGGAAAAGGUACUAUUGGCCGAAUACACUUCCAUCCUCCGAAACUAUAAGAAUGCAAAGCGAAAGCUUACAGAAGCAGAGACAAUGAACCAGGAAUGCUUGAAUGAGAUGAGAGCCACGAUAAGUGAACUAGAGUGUGCCAAUGGAAUGAAGGAUGCAGAGAUUCGGUCACUCCAUGAGCUCUUGAAAUCUUUAACUUACAAAGAUGCAUUGCAAAGUGGUCAUCAAUUGAAUUCAACCAUGUCCCUAAGUGAGAAGAAUGGAAUGAUUAGGGGUCACCGAAGGACUCCAAGUUUUUUGUCAGUUCAUCAGAGGGCACAAAGUGUUUCCUCUAUUCCCAGUAGAAUAAUAAAUAGUUCUAGCCUGAAAAAUAAACCAAGUAUUGAUGCAUCACAUGAUGCUGUUACAAAUCAGAAAAGCAUUAUUCAGGAGGAGCCCACAUCAACAAAUGUAGUUGAGAUGGAUAAAGCAUCACCUCUUGAAAAAAAGUUCAGAAGAGACAUUGAUACGCUUCUGGAGGAGAACCUAGCAUUCUUGAUGAAGUUCAGCAUGUUAUUCCAACAGAUACAAGGAUUUCAGACCAAGUAUGAUCAACUACAAGCUGAGAUUAGUAAGCUAAAGCCAAACAAGGAUCAUACCAAUGAUCAACCUGCAAAAUUGGAAAUGGAAGCAACAGAAAAGAGGCUAAGAGAACUCAAGAUUGAACUGCAAGUAUGGUUGGAACAGAAUGCAAUGUUCAAAGGGGAACUCCAGUGUAAGUUUGAUUCCCUAUGCAGCAUACAAGCGGAGAUUGAAGGAACCAUGGAGAUGGAUGCAGACACCGUGGACAGAGCUAGAUUCACUUCAUAUCAUGUUGCAAAAUUUCAGGGGGAGAUUUUGAACAUGAAGCAGGAGAACAACAAAGUUGCUGAUGAACUGCAGGCUGGUUUGGAUCAUGUGAAAGGGCUACAAAAAGAAAUUGAAAAGGAUUUGGCAAAGAUACUGAGCACCAGCUUAUCUGGGCCCAAAUCUAGCACCACCUGGAGGAAUGCACCCUCUAAAUCAAGAGUACCGCUCCGGAUGUUCCUCUUUCCAGCCAAGAAAAAGAAACCAUCGCUGUUUGCAUGUGUAAAUCCAACGCUUCUUUCAAAGCAGAAUAGCGACAUGGCAUUCUUCACUAAAAUGAGCUAGGUAUGUAUGCCAAUUUGUCCAAAUGCCUCAAAUUUCACCUAUAUUAGUAUGUGAUUUGGCUUAACAUAUUAUUGUUAUGAUCAGGUCUUCCAGAUGGAACGAAAGUCAUCAUCAAGCCAGCAAAGUAGCAAGCAGAACUUUAAAUUAGUAAUAUUAGGUUUUGUCCUGAUGCCAGAAUGCUAUGUUCGGCUUAUGUUAAGGUUCUUGCAAUGCACUCACUGGGAUCAAUUAGCGUUUGCUAACCAGUUGAGUCUAUUCAAGGGGGAUAUGAAUACUCUGUACCUUUUGACAUCUAUAGCUUGUGAAAUAAUUUAGAAAAUAGAAAAAUUUAAUUUCCAUAGCAGUAAUGUGCGCUGAACUAAAUUUAAUUGGCAGUGUAUCGCAUGACAAAUUUCACUUGUGUCAUUCAUUAAGGGUCAAAAUACGUGCACUGUGGCAGCAGGUGGUAAAUGGUAAGUACCUUGUAAUUUGAGGCCGCGAACGGUUGAUCACAGAAUUGGGUGAGGGGCGAAUGGAAGUACUUCACACUGAACAACACAGCCGAAUUCAGGCUUAUUGCAUGGCACAAGCAGACUCAGCAAAGUACAAGAAGACAGAAGAGAAGACAACAAGCUCAGUCAUACAAAAUGGUGCAAGCAACACGGAGGUUUUGAAGCUGGUAGGAAAGCACGCACCAGAGCGAAAGACCCUGAAGGCUGUGUCAAAUUGGCGCCGCAUUCCAUCGAACAGGUCCCUGGCACCUCGGCCUCAAGCGCGCCGUGGCUAAGCGAGAUCCAGGGGAAUAGUGGAUCGCCUGCCCAGGCCAGAGGCAGCCCCUGCAACAUUCCCAAUUUGAGUGCUCGCCGUCUUCUCGCUCAGUUGGAACCGCUAGUGUGGUUGACGUGGCGGGAUGGCUAACGGCGGACGGCGGUGGGGGAGACAGAAAAGCCAGGCCAUCAGCACAUACAGGCGGGCUAACAUGCCAGAUCAUCCUUCACCGCGCGAGGCCAGGUAUGAACGGCUGAUCGACGAGCGCGCCGGCCGCCGGGAGGCGGAGGACGGGCGGCGGCGAACGGAGGAGCGAGAGAGGCCAGCCAUCUGCCCGGAUACAUGAGGACUAAUAUGUAAAAAACCGGACCCAACCAGGGGGUAAUGUGAAAACUAUCGGAUCGCGAUUAUCCAAUACAGGGUCUAUCUGAAAAAAAUAAUAUGCGGUUAUUUUUACGUAUCGCGACUAUUAAUCGCAAUCCAAAACAGAGAACCAAGGAUUUUUUUAAAAGAGUUCUGGGUUGGGCUCUCUCGACAGCGACGUCGCUGGCAUUCCUGUGAGGCCUCACGACAGAUACGGGAUCGGAGAAAAUCAUGUAUGAUCUUCCGCAAAAAGACCGCUAGUGUUUCCGCGGGAGGAGUUCCGUGAGGGCUUGGUCGCCCAAGAGUGUAAGAUUCGAUCGAGGCUUGGAGCGGGAACUGAAAGAGCUAUGGAGAGACGGAUGCAGGCAGAUUUGGAUCACAUGAAAAGGAGGUACAUGAAGAAGAAGGUUAUUAAGAAAGCAAUUCGGAGGAAUUCACCCUCCUGAUUGAUUGCAGCUCCGGAUGCUCCUCUUUGGCUGUAACCAGGGAAUAAAGGUACGUUUGGUUAUAUGGACUAAAAUUUAUGAAAGUUUAGUCGUACACCUAUUUUAGCUUAUUUUAAUCCCUAUGAUGCUAAAUAGGUGGACUAGAAUGUCAACUAAGGGGGUGUUUGGAUACCCCGUGCUAAACUUUAGCACCUGUCACAUCGGAUGUUCGGAUGCUAAUUAGGAGGACUAAAUAUAGUUUAAUUACAAAACUAAUUGCACAGAUGGAGUCUAAUUCAUGAGACGAAUCUAUUAAGGCUAAUUAAUCCAUCAUUAGCAAAUGGUUAUUGUAGCACCACAUUGUUAAAUCGUGGACUCAUUAGGCUUAAUAGAUUCGUCUCGCGAAUUAGACUCUAUCUGUACAAUUAGUUUUGUAAUUAAACUAUGUUUAAUGCUCCUAAUUAGUAUCAAACAUCCCAUGUGACAUAUGUUAAAGUUUAGCACGGGGUAUCAAACACCCUCUAAAUCUUUACUCCUCCAGUGUAAGACGGGUAGACUGAAGUGGACUAAAACGUCGGAGGACACUCUGUCCUCGUUUAUUGCUCCCUCCAGCCCGGCCCCCUCCGCCGGCCUCCCUCCCGCCCGGCCCCCGCCGCCCUCCCGCCUGCCGCGGCGGAGGAGGUGCCGCCGGCGAAGUAGCCUGCGUCGGCGGCGUCGCGGAGGGCGUGCUGGUCGGGGUCCUCGAGCGGGACGAGAGGCGGAAGCGAGGGUGACGCCUGCGACCGAGCGGCGAGAGGCGAUCGGAGUUGCGGUGCUGGGGAGGAGAGGAACAGACGGUGCAGGAAAGCCGAGAGCGCGGCGUCUGUGCCCCCAGCGGUAGCGGAGGAUGACGGGCCCACGUGGUGGUUCGACGGCGUUGGCGGCGGAGGGCCUAGAAGCACGCUCCCUCCGGCGGUGGUCCUAGAAAUGGUGGUGGCGGCGGCGGCGGUGGAGGAAGCGAGGCGGCCAUGGAGACGGUCGAAGCGGCGGGAUCGCGGCGCAGGUAAUCAACGAAGCAGAGGGGUGCUUUUGGUGGGAAUCGGGAAACGCAUGUGCUGGUGGUUGGGCGCCGUUUGCUGCGUGGGAAGGAGGCGGUUCGGUGGUCACUGUGAGAAGAUGGUGAGCAGGAGUUUCCAUCUUCAAAACAGAAGCAAUAUCGUUUUUAUUUAUCAGCAUCAAUGCAGAGGUAUGGAUGGACUGAAGGAACCAAGGGCUAAACCUUCGCUGUUCGCAUGUCCAAAUCAUGCAUAUUCAGAAGCAGGGGAGCGACACGGGGGACCUCCUUCAUACACGAAACUGGAGAUUCAUGGAGUGAACAGUGUGCAUAGAAUGCGGAAGCCGAGGCGGCGAACGUGAAGAAAGGAGAGAAACUGGACAGCAAGCCGAAGAUGAACUGACCACCGUGGCGCCGCCGUCGUAGUCCCCUCGCUGCGCUGCUCUUCCUACGCCCCGCCGUCGCAUUCUUCCCGCUGCGCCGCCCUCCCUACGCCCUGUCGUCGCAAUCCCCCGCUGGCCGCGCUCCCUGCGCGUCUCCGCACCCAUCCUGCCUGCGUCUCGUCGUCCUAAUCCGCUUGCUGCUAGUCAUGGCCAGCUACUUCGAUUUGGGUCAGAGCAACAGAGAGAAGAAGCAAACAUACACAAGGGAACUAGUAUGAAGCUUCUUGUUCUAGCUACUGCGACUGAAGAUGGGACCCGCAGGCUGUCAGUAGCGUCAUGAACUAAGUUUAUGCGCGCGCCUUGAAGACUGUUCGCUUGUGGGACAUGAAGUGUUUAGCUUUGUUAACCAGCUAAUUCUAUCCAAGGGCGAUAGAUAUACCAUACACUUCGUGCUUUUAACAUCUCUAACUGCUAACUACUUGUGAUUGUUUUGAUUAUCUGCCAGUAUUACCUGAGAGAGAAAAAACAGAUUUCGUUGUCCAAUGAGAAUCAAAAUGUCUGCACCCUGAAAUGGGGGCGCUGAAUGUGAUUCGGA
Molecule: long non-coding RNA, 8099 nt
Filed under: Setaria italica (foxtail millet)
Lineage: Eukaryota; Viridiplantae; Streptophyta; Magnoliopsida; Poales; Poaceae
Description: long non-coding RNA (SITA_LNC001805)
Source: RNAcentral